Molecule: ribosomal RNA, 456 nt
Filed under: Lactobacillus amylovorus
Lineage: Bacteria; Bacillati; Bacillota; Bacilli; Lactobacillales; Lactobacillaceae
Description: bacterial SSU rRNA
Rfam family: Bacterial small subunit ribosomal RNA
Source: RNAcentral
CAGGUCUUGACAUCUAGUGCAAUCUGUAGAGAUACGGAGUUCCCUUCGGGGACGCUAAGACAGGUGGUGCAUGGCUGUCGUCAGCUCGUGUCGUGAGAUGUUGGGUUAAGUCCCGCAACGAGCGCAACCCUUGUUAUUAGUUGCCAGCAUUAAGUUGGGCACUCUAAUGAGACUGCCGGUGACAAACCGGAGGAAGGUGGGGAUGACGUCAAGUCAUCAUGCCCCUUAUGACCUGGGCUACACACGUGCUACAAUGGGCAGUACAACGAGAAGCAAGCCUGCGAAGGCAAGCGAAUCUCUGAAAGCUGUUCUCAGUUCGGACUGCAGUCUGCAACUCGACUGCACGAAGCUGGAAUCGCUAGUAAUCGCGGAUCAGCACGCCGCGGUGAAUACGUUCCCGGGCCUUGUACACACCGCCCGUCACACCAUGGGAGUCUGCAAUGCCCAAAGCCGGUG